GGAAGGGCUCAGAUUCUUUGUGUCCAGAGUCAUUCCAUACUUGGAAUCUCAGUCUCUGACUAAGACGUGAGGCCCACGAGGGAGGGAAGGACAAGGCAACAAGACGACCUAUAAGAAGAGAACUCUCAGAGGAGCAGUAUCUGCAUAUUCAAAUUCCAGCACGGACUUUUCUGAAUGGAUUUGUGUAUGAUUAGCUUUCCCAAACCAAGCUAUUAAAAUGGCAAUGAGGGUUAAGUGACUUGCCCUGGGUCACACAGC
This is a long non-coding RNA of Dromiciops gliroides (monito del monte), 258 nucleotides long. RefSeq lists it as uncharacterized. The record is from RefSeq and is a predicted model, not a curated record. The transcript has 3 exons. NCBI's taxonomy places the organism in Eukaryota, Metazoa, Chordata, Mammalia, Microbiotheria, Microbiotheriidae.